Triticum aestivum (bread wheat) is the source of this 1310-nucleotide long non-coding RNA. RefSeq lists it as uncharacterized. The record is from RefSeq and is a predicted model, not a curated record. Lineage: Eukaryota; Viridiplantae; Streptophyta; Magnoliopsida; Poales; Poaceae. The transcript has 3 exons.
AAACAAACCUGGCUGCUGUCGUUGGUGAGAGGUAUAUAUACGGAGCUAAAGCCUGGGCGUUAGCCAUGUACGUAGCUCCGCACAUUGCAGCAACGUCAGGAACAGCUGACGGUGUCUUGAUAUCCUCGCGGAUCUGACACGCGGGGUGGUUUCAACCAAAGGGGCGCUGCACCACCUCGAGGAGGAGGGCAUCAGGGCGGCUACGCCGAUCGAGGUGGCUAUGCGUAUCGGGGCGGUUACGCCGAUCGAGGUGGCUAUGCGGAUCGGGGCGGUUACGCUGACCGAGGUGGCUAUGGAGAUCGGGCGGUUACAUGAACUUCUGCCAUGCAUCACUUUCUUUUGACCCAGACUUUGAAGAGAUUGAGGAUCCACGGGAUAGGCGCCCGACCGGGCAUCAGUAUCGUGAAAACCGUAGCCAUGAAGAAGAGCAUUAUAAAAAAGAUGUUAGUUACUGAGACGAGCCUCUAUGCGAGCGCAACUUAUCUGGUCGUAAUAAAUGAGAGGAAGAAAAACGUGAGGCAUCUGGCGGCCGUCAGAUCUUUCCAUUGGUGGUGUCUCCAAAAGCAAGAAACAUGUCUGCUCUCAGGAAGAUGCAACGACUGCCAAGGCUACCGAGGUGUUGCCCCCAGCUCCAAUAAUGGAUACUAGUGGUCAAGAUGGGGUUGAUGACUCACUCUUAAAUUGGCAUGCAGAGUUUGAGCCGCAGCAUGAUAAACCAUUGAGGGCCGUCAAAGGCGUUCUCACGGCGUUCUCAGUUUUUGAUGGAUAGUGUGGAAGAAUGCAUCACAUUAUGCCUUACACACAUGGACUUGGAAAGAAGCCCAAUAGUACUAGUAACAGCAAGUGCACCUUCAGAGUCAACCUGCUUGGUUCCUACUCCUCUUAUUGCGUUGACACGUCACACACGCCGUCGUGUGGCUAUCAUGGAUAAUCUUGAUGCUGAGAUCACACCGUCUAAGGAAUACUCGAUACUAGUGCCCUUGGAGCCCACAGUUCAGGAGGUAUUAUUUAGUGCAGAUGGCUCACUUGGCUAUACCACAUCAACAUUAGCUGAAGCAUUCAUUAUAAAUCCUCAGAAAACAUGGUUAAACAAUGGCACAAUUCAGCUGAAGGCCGAAACAUCUCAUCGCGAUAAGCCUACUGAUGUGGGCAUGUGCACUGUUAGUGUCCAAAGAUGAUAGAAACAUCUUGACACGUGAUGGAAUUAUACGUGACAUCCUGGGCUCGCUGCAUGAGAUCCCAUUAAAAUGGUCGUUGAUACAAGCUUUUUUAUCCUUCUUAAACUCAGAAGGUCACACCUUGAUGACAAC